GAUGAACGCUGGCGGCGUGCCUAAUACAUGCAAGUCGAGCGAACAGACGAGGAGCUUGCUCCUCUGACGUUAGCGGCGGACGGGUGAGUAACACGUGGAUAACCUACCUAUAAGACUGGGAUCACUUCGGGAAACCGGAGCUAACACCGGAUAAUAUAUUGAACCGCAUGGUUCAAUAGUGAAAGCCGGUUUUGCUGUCACUUAUAGAUGGAUCCGCGCCGCAUUAGCUAGUUGGUAAGGUAACGGCUUACCAAGGCGACGAUGCGUAGCCGACCUGAGAGGGUGAUCGGCCACACUGGAACUGAGACACGGUCCAGACUCCUACGGGAGGCAGCAGUAGGGAAUCUUCCGCAAUGGGCGAAAGCCUGACGGAGCAACGCCGCGUGAGUGAUGAAGGUCUUCGGAUCGUAAAACUCUGUUAUUAGGGAAGAACAAAUGUGUAAGUAACUAUGCACGUCUUGACGGUACCUAAUCAGAAAGCCACGGCUAACUACGUG
Molecule: ribosomal RNA, 497 nt
Filed under: uncultured bacterium
Lineage: Bacteria
Description: partial 16S ribosomal RNA
Rfam family: Bacterial small subunit ribosomal RNA
Source: RNAcentral